CCCGUUUGGCGUAAUUUCUUGGCCCCAUGAAUCAAUCGCCACCAGCAGCCCAUUAUUCACUGGCGGUGUAGCCAGCAGGUACAUCCAGGUAGGUCCCUUUUCUUCUCUCUCUCUCUCUCUUCCUCGGCAUGUCCUUCCUGAAACUGUUGUUGCUGCCCCAUUGGCUACUACCUGUGAUUACCAUGUACCCACUUACGGAGGCUAUUCACCGCCGGCGGGAAAAUUCAACCGGAAGUUGCCUGUGACGCUGCAGUUUCGUGGAGGUAGGUUUGUGCGCGGGAGCAAUGAGUCGGUGGGUAACGAUGCGUUUUACAGAAGGAAUGCCAAGUUGUGCGAUGUAAUUGUUGUUGCUGUUGAUAAUAGAUUGGCACGGAGAGUAGAUACCCGUGUGAGGAUGGGCUCUAGGUUUUGAAUUGGUCGCCAUGCAGGCGAAUUUGGCUUCUUGUAGGAGAUUGGGUCUUCAAUGCUGUAUUUUUUAUAGCUUUGGUGCUUCUAUGCUUGAGCCUUGGCUGGCUACUUAUGGAGAUCCUUCCAGGUGUGUAUUACUUUGGGUUUGCGCUGGUGCAAAGAAAGUGGAUUAUGUGGCAAGAAAGGCUAUAAAGGCAGGCAAGCUAUUGGAUCCUAUAAGGUUGUGGCACCGGUUCUGAUUUACCUCUUCUUCAUUGGAAGCACCCACGCAUUUCAGAAGUUAAGCUGGCAAACUCAUACUUCUAUGACAAGGGUAUGUGCAAGCUGGCAUGGAAACUAUUCCUACCUGAAGAAGAAUUCAACCUAGAUCAUCCAGCUGCCAACCAUCUCCUCCGAGGGAACGAGCCACCUCUUGAGUACUUGCCACCAUCAUUAGUGGUUGCGGUAGAACAUGACUUUAGAGAGACUGGGCCAUUGCUCGCUAAGAAGAACUGCAGAAAGUUAAUGUGGAUGCACCUUUUCUUGUUUAUAAGGAUGCUGUGCAUGAGCUUGCUACCCUUGACAUGCUUCUCCGGACACCAUAUGGGUCAAGAAGAACAUAUCUCUCAGAGGUCAUGAGUUUUCUUACUGAAUGAAUCAGAAAAGAAGUAACAGAUUACAAUAGGAAGAGAGAUGUUUAAUUGGUGUAUAAGCAGUGUUACCUCUUCAUCAUUUAUGCUGUUGGAGAGGAGCAGGAUUCUUGUACAUAAUGCUGAGGGUUAUAGCUUCCAGCCAAUUUUCCAUGAGUUUCCAUUCAGGUGAGGAUUUGUUCCCUUUCUUGUAAAGCACAUAGUUUUUGUCAGAAAUUAGGAUUUUCCGGAAUUUAUAGAUGGAUGUUCCCUCAAAUAUAUUAGAAACAUUACUUUGUUCAGCUCUUCAUUUCAUUGUUUAGAGGUAUUGGAAAUUACAUAUAGAAAUAAAACAAAAGUUAUUCCAUCUCAAUUCCUUCCAUCUGAUCAUUCAAAGUAAUUAAGCAACUUUUAUGUGAACCCGCUUCUUUCUGGCUUGUGAGAACGCAUACGUUACCUUGCUGGUGCCAAGCUUGCGUCUAUGCUAUCUUGCCGACAGCAAUGUUGUUUAAUAUAUUAAAGAAAGGGAAUAAGAUAGUAUAUCCUGCAUGGAUUUCCCAAGAACAAUGCAUAUGCAAUUGUAAAUAGAUUCUACUGUGAAUAUGCUAAUACUGCAGAAUGAUAGCACCUGAAUUGGCCGGCUAAAUAGUGCAUGCUCAUUAUCUGUGUAUUUAAUUUAUAUUUGUAUCACCUAGAUAAAAAGGAAGCCAUAAUAGUUAUCUGUUUAUAAGAUAUUGUUGCAGUAACUAAUGUUGAGAACAUCAUAAAAGUGAAUAUGUUGAUUAGAAGCAAUAAAAUAUUAUUUUUAGGGUGGAUUUUAUAUGUUCUGAUCAUAAUAAUUUUUUAAUGGCUAAAAAAUACUUUCAAAUUAUUUUUUACAACAACAUAAUAUAUUGUGCUUUAAAAGAAGGUUUCAACUAUAAUAUCACAUAAAAGUAUGUCCCUUUCAUUGCUCACCUCAACACAGAACGUAGUAAACAAAAACCAGAUAGAUGCAGAUAAAAUUGAAAGCCUAUUAGUUUGCUCUUGCUUGUCUUUCUUCUUUUUUAAUUUGUGCAUUGCCAAUGGGUUUUCCCUUGAGUCAGUCGCCUGGGAAGGUAGCAGAAGCAAACAAAACCAUAAUAAAAGCAAAAGUCACUAAAAAAAAACAUGAGAAUAGCGUAAAUGAGCUGGAUAGAAUGGAAAGCCAAAAGGGACAGGUUAUUGAACUCCUUAACUCUAGGGAUUCCACGCCUAUGUAAAAGAAAGAAUGUGCCUUGAUUGCUCCAUGCUUGCUUUGCUUUGUGCCUGCUGGAACCAAGACAAUAUUCUAUGCUUAAUUCUAUUUUUCAUGAGUAAUUUUCAGUGUAGGAGAAUUAAAUAUUGUGGCUUUGCAAUCAUCACUCUCCAACAAGGGAACUCGUUCAAAUUAUAAAUAUCCCUUGCUAGAAACUGGGUCUUUCGGGAUUCAGUAAUUGCAUGAGUGUUUGAUACACUAAAAGAAGAGAUCAUGUAUCCUCCUUCCUAUACACAAUCUGAAUUCUGCUGUGAUGAUAAAAGUUAUGAGACAACUGGUUUAGAUCUCAAUCUCGGCCACAUCAUGCCGGAUUUUUCUGUAUUGGAGGAUGAUUGUACUGCUCGGUUUGAUUUUGAUGAAACACGAAGCCACAAGAGGGUGAAGCAGGCACCAAGUGCCACUGUAUCCAAUGGAAAUGGUGCUGGACUUUAUUGUACUGGCAGUAAUGGUAGGACUAGUACGAACAGCUUGAAUAUUGUGCCUAGACUCCACUUCAGGGAUUAUGUAUUGACUUACACAGAAAGGUAUUUAGCAAUUGAGGCUAUGGAAGAAGCAGCAGCAGCCUUGAUGGACGACGAGAGAAAUGAAGUCAUUGAAGAAGAAGGUGGUGAUGGGAUGAAACUAUUACAGCAACUCAUUGCCUGUGCUGAAGCUGUGGCUUGCCGUGACAAGACACAUGCUUCUGCAUUACUAUCAGAGCUGGGAGCUAAUGCCCUUGUCUUUGGAACAUCAUUUCAAAGAGUUGCUUCCUGCUUUGUCCAGGGCCUCUCUGAUCGGCUUGCGCUGGUUCAACCACUAGGGGCAGUGGGAGUUCUAGGCUCUCCAGCAAAAAUGGUCACUACUUUUACAGCAGAGAAGGAUGAGGCCUUGCGGCUUGUCUACGAGAUUUGUCCACAAAUCCAAUUUGGUCAUUUUGUAGCAAAUUCAUCAAUAUUAGAAGCCUUUGAGGGCAAGCGUUCUGUUCAUGUUGUGGACUUGGGGAUGACCCUUGGCCUGCCCAAUGGCCAACAGUGGCGCAAUCUAAUACACAGCAUAGCCAACCGCACUGGCCAACCGCCUCACCGCCUUCGAAUAACAGGUGUAGGAAACUCUGCUGAGCGCCUUCGAGUAAUAGGGGAUGAGCUAGAGUCCUAUGCACGAAGCUUGGGAUUGAAAUUUGAAUUUUUGUGGGUUGAAAGCAGCCUGGAAAACCUGAAACCAACAGACUUCAAACUCCUUGAUGGUGAAGUUGUAAUCAUCAAUAGCAUUCUUCAGUUGCAUUGUGUAGUGAAAGAGAGCCGAGGAGCACUAAACUCAGUUCUGCAGAUGCUACUUGAGCUAUCACCAAAGCUUCUCAUUUUAGUAGAGCAGGAUUCAAGCCAUAAUGGACCAUUCUUUCUAGGGAGGUUCAUGGAAGCAUUACAUUACUAUUCAGCUAUUUUUGACUCACUAGAUGCAAUGCUACCCAAGUACGACACGAGGCGAGCGAAGAUAGAGCAGUUCUUUUUCGCCGAGGAAAUCAAGAACAUCAUCAGCUGUGAAGGACCAGCAAGAGUGGAGAGGCACGAAAGGGUGGACCAAUGGCGCAGGAGGAUGAGCAGGGCUGGAUUUCAGCCUUCACAUACGAAGAUGACAAUGCUGGCAAAGCAGUGGCUAGGAAAGGCCAAGUUUUGUGAGGGUUAUGCAGUUACAGAAGAGAAAGGAUGCUUGGUUCUUGGGUGGAAAUCAAAGCCUAUAAUUGCAGCUUCUUGCUGGAAGUGCUCCUGAUUUUUUAAUUUUUUAAUUUUUAUAAAUUUCAUAAAUUACACAUUAUGUUUUAUAAAAAUCAUAAAAAACAUAAAAAGUUAUAAAUUGAAAAAUCAGUUGGUUCAAUUUUUUUUUUAUUUUUUAUGAAAAUA
Molecule: unclassified non-coding RNA, 4169 nt
Filed under: Hevea brasiliensis (rubber tree)
Lineage: Eukaryota; Viridiplantae; Streptophyta; Magnoliopsida; Malpighiales; Euphorbiaceae
Source: RNAcentral